This 198-nucleotide ribosomal RNA is filed under the name uncultured prokaryote. RNAcentral's name for it is "partial 16S ribosomal RNA". It matches the Rfam family "Bacterial small subunit ribosomal RNA", at positions 524 to 721 of the family's 1533-position model. The record is from RNAcentral.
UACAGAGGGUGCGAGCGUUAAUCGGAAUUACUGGGCGUAAAGCGUGCGUAGACGGUUAUUUAAGUCGGAUGUGAAAGCCCCGGGCUCAACCUGGGAAUUGCAUUCGAGACUGAAUAGCUAGGGUACGGUAGAGGGAAGUGGAAUUUCCGGUGUAGCGGUUAAAUGCGUAGAUAUCAGGAGGAACACCGGUGGUGUAGA